RNAcentral lists this ribosomal RNA (425 nucleotides) under uncultured bacterium. Its description in RNAcentral is "partial 16S ribosomal RNA". It matches the Rfam family "Bacterial small subunit ribosomal RNA", at positions 354 to 796 of the family's 1533-position model. The record is from RNAcentral.
GUUAGGAAUAUUGGACAAUGGGCGCAAGCCUGAUCCAGCCAUGCCGCGUGAGUGAUGAAGGCCUUCGGGUUGUAAAGCUCUUUAGCCGAUGAUUAUAAUGACUGUAGUCGGAAAAUAAGCCCCGGCUAACUUCGUGCCAGCAGCCGCGGUAAUACGAAGGGGGCGAGCGUUAUUCGGAAUCACUGGGCGUAAAGCGUGCGUAGGCGGCUUUGCAAGUUGGGAGUGAAAGCCCAGGGCUCAACCAUGGAAUUGCUCUCAAAACUGCAAGGCUCGAAUUCGGGAGAGGAUAGCGGAAUUGUCAGUGUAGCAGUGAAAUGCGUAGAUAUUGACAGGAACACCAGUGGCGUAAGCGGCUAUCUGGACCGAUAUUGACGCUGAGGCACGAAAGCGUGGGGAUCAAACAGGAUUAGAAACCCUAGUAGUCC